RNAcentral lists this non-coding RNA (1534 nucleotides) under Zootermopsis nevadensis. RNAcentral's name for it is "Eukaryotic large subunit ribosomal RNA". It matches the Rfam family "Eukaryotic large subunit ribosomal RNA", at positions 1 to 1258 of the family's 3401-position model. Lineage: Eukaryota; Metazoa; Arthropoda; Insecta; Blattodea; Termopsidae. The record is from Rfam by way of RNAcentral.
CGACCUCAGAUCAAGCGAGAUUACCCGCUGAAUUUAAGCAUAUAAAUAAGCGGAGGAAAAGAAACCAAACGGGAUUCCCUUAGUAACGGCGAGCGAACAGGGAGCAGCCCAGCGCCAAGGCUUGACACUUGACGUGUUCAAGCGAUGCGGCGUUAGUGUAUUGGUGCAUCGUAUACUGCCUUGUGCUUUAAAUUCCUUUGACAGGGAUUCCCAGAGUGGGUGCUAGGCCCAUAAAGGCUGCGAGGCUGGUAUACGCAAACUAAUGCAUUUUAGAGUCAGGUUACUUGAGAGUGUAACCCAAAGUGGGUGGUAAACUCCAUCUAAGGCUAAAUAUUGCAGCGUGACCGAUAGCAAACAAGUACCGUGAGGGAAAGUUGCAAAGAACUUUGAAGAGAGAGUUCAAUAGGACGUGAAACCACUGACAGGCAAACGGGUGGAACCACGAAGUGUGCCUGGGAAGCAAUUCAGCUGCGAUUAGUAGUUUGUGUCACUACCAUUCGGGUUACUCUUUUGUGGCCAUGGUUAGAGGCAUAUACAACUGCGAAUUACAGUGCAUUUUGUCUUCCCAGUGCUAAAGCCACGUCCGAUUAGGUGGCUGGAAUGGCCGUAGCGGGUGAUACGAUGGAAGGUAGCUGCCUAGUGGCUUGCCAUUAGCGUAGUGUUAUAGCCUCGUGUCCAUGCCAUUACCUAGCGUGCUGAUCGGUUUAAGAACUCCAAUACCGGAGUAUUGCCAGUAAUGGGUUGUUGCGCUUUGUAUUGCUAUGGCUAGUGUGCUAUUUUGCGCUUUUGUGUCUUCGGGCAUCAUAAGACGGAGUAGUAUCAAUGGUCAUUGGUGGUAAUUGCGUGAGCAGCUUGUGCAAACAGUGGUGCGAGUAGGUCGGUCUCCACCCGACCCGUCUUGAAACACGGACCAAGGAGCCUAACACAUACGCAAGUCGCACGGUCUUGUUUAGGCCUGUGAGGCGCAAUGAAAAUAAGUUUUGCUAUGAAAUUGUUUGGCCUUAACCGGUCGGCAGUUGCAAUAGCGGCCUGCCUACUUCCUUUAUUGGGGAUAUGGUGGAGCUGGAGCGUAUGCGUUGGUACCCGAAAGAUGGUGAACUAUGCCUGGGCAAGACGAAGCCAGAGGAAACUCUGGUGGAGGUCUGUAGCGAUUCUGACGUGCAAAUCGAUCGUCAGACCUGGGUAUAGGGGCGAAAGACUAAUCGAACCAUCUAGUUGCUGGUUCCCUCUGAAGUUUCCCUCAGGAUAGCAGGCGCUCGGAUUGAACACAGUUUCAUCCGGUAAAGCUAAUGAUUAGAGGUCUUGGGGCCUAAUCGGCCUCAACCUAUUCUCAAACUUUAAAUGGGUGAGAUGCAUGACUUGCUUGAUUUGAAGCCAUGCAUUUGAAUGUAUGAGUGCCUAGUGGGCCAUUUUUGGUAAGCAGAACUGGCGCUGUGGGAUGAACCAAACGUUGAGUUAAGGCAUCAAAUGCGUACGCUCAUCAGACCCCAGAAAAGGUGUUGGUUGCUAUAGACAGCAGGACGGUGGCCAUGGA